UCUCUCCCCUGCACAAGAUAGUUUUUAUCAGGGCAAGAUUUCUCCAUUUCACUCUGGACCUUCUGAGCCCCGCAGCUUCCCCCAGUGUUGGGUAACUCAGCUGCAUAGUUUGUGGUAGUGGGGAACUAUGUUUACACUGUUGCCUG
RNAcentral lists this small nuclear RNA (146 nucleotides) under Erinaceus europaeus (western European hedgehog). Its description in RNAcentral is "U1 spliceosomal RNA (ENSEEUG00000022616.1)". The record is from RNAcentral. Lineage: Eukaryota; Metazoa; Chordata; Mammalia; Eulipotyphla; Erinaceidae.